AUCGCUUCUCGGCCUUUUGGCUAAGAUCAAGUGUAGUAUCUGUUCUUAUCGGCCUUUUGGCUAAGAUCAAGUGUAGUAUCUGUUCUUAUCAGUCUGCCUUUUCUUGCCGGCCCAGGUCCUUGUGGGUACCCCCUGCACUCUGCCUUUGAGCAUCGUUGAUUAAAUUCAGCUUCAGCUCACUGCUGCU
This is a small nuclear RNA of Bufo bufo (common toad), 187 nucleotides long. RefSeq annotates it as U2 spliceosomal RNA. Lineage: Eukaryota; Metazoa; Chordata; Amphibia; Anura; Bufonidae. The record is from RefSeq and is a predicted model, not a curated record. The transcript has a single exon.